This 63-nucleotide transfer RNA is filed under the name Panthera tigris (tiger). Its description in RNAcentral is "tRNA-Asn". The record is from RNAcentral. Lineage: Eukaryota; Metazoa; Chordata; Mammalia; Carnivora; Felidae.
CCAGUUGAUUAGGGUAUUUAGCUGUUAACUAAAAUUUCGUGGGGUUAGGGCCCACCAAUCUAG